Molecule: ribosomal RNA, 466 nt
Filed under: uncultured bacterium
Lineage: Bacteria
Description: bacterial SSU rRNA
Rfam family: Bacterial small subunit ribosomal RNA
Source: RNAcentral
UACCAGACUCCUACGGGAGGCAGCAGUGAGGAAUAUUGGUCAAUGGGCGGGAGCCUGAACCAGCCAAGUCGCGUGAGGGAAGACGGUCCUACGGAUUGUAAACCUCUUUUGCCGGGGAGCAACGGGGUCCUUGCGAGGGCCCGAUGAGAGUACCCGGAGAAAAAGCAUCGGCUAACUCCGUGCCAGCAGCCGCGGUGAUACGGAGGAUGCGAGCGUUAUCCGGAUUUAUUGGGUUUAAAGGGUGCGUAGGCGGGCUGUUAAGUCAGCGGUAAAAUGUCGGGGCUCAACCCCGGCCUGCCGUUGAAACUGGCGACCUCGAGUGGGCGAGAAGUAUGCGGAAUGCGUGGUGUAGCGGUGAAAUGCAUAGAUAUCACGCAGAACUCCGAUUGCGAAGGCAGCAUACCGGCGCCCGACUGACGCUGAGGCACGAAAGCGUGGGUAUCGAACAGGAUUAGAUACCCCGGUA